AUCCAGAAGACGUGUCCCAAAUAGGACGAAACGCGCAUCAAACUGGAU
RNAcentral lists this non-coding RNA (48 nucleotides) under Schistosoma mansoni. Lineage: Eukaryota; Metazoa; Platyhelminthes; Trematoda; Strigeidida; Schistosomatidae. The record is from RNAcentral.